CAUGUUGGUUUUUCUACACAAGCCCAACAGUGCCCCUGGUGCAGAGUGGAACUGGUCACAACAAGGCAGCGUGAAAUAAAGGGGCAAUCAGCCAGGACAGACUGAGACAACUGCAGCAGGGUUAAAGCCCCUGCUGUUACCGACUCCAGGAGGGGUGUGACCCAAACCCUGCUUAGGGAAAGCAUUGCCCCAAUGAGCCCAACUUCCUGCAAGUCCAAACCAGACCUUAGAGGCAUGGAACAUGAAGCAUCUUAAUGCUGAAUGGCAUUGGGCAUGAGACAGGUCUUGUCAGAGAACUCAUCUGCUAACCAGAUCAUAAUUGCUGACAUCACAGAGGCUCAUCUGCCACAAAGCGAUCAAGUUACCAUGGAAGGAGCAACCUCCCUCUACUCCAGUGGUCUAUACCAAACUCCAGGUGUGGCGCCUGUAAGACAACCUCUAGCAUAGACUUUAACCCCAUCUCUCCACGCUUACUGUAUGAUUGCCUCCAACAUUGUGGUGGACACUUAAAAUUUGUUGUUGUGGCCUAUGCUCUGACAAAAGAUCUAGCACCUGCAGAAAAGGACACAUUCUACCACCUGAUAGCAGAAAAAAUCCAGUCAACUCCAUCACAUGACACACUGCUGGCACUUGGAGUUUCAAUGCUAUGAAUGGAUGCAAUCAAACUGGGUAUGAAACUCUAAGAGAUCCCUUUGGUUUCAGUUUACCAAAUGACAACGCCACUUGGCUUUUGACAUUCUGUGCCACUGAGGGCUUGUCUGUUAUGGGCUCCUGGCUUAGGAACUGUAAUAAUCAUUGCGGAACCUGGAUUUAUAACAAUGGAUGUGGACUACAUCCUCAUCAGAAAUUGUUCCAUAGUGAAAUCUCACUGGGUCUUUGGUGAUAUAGAUGCACCAGCAAACUCAAACCAUAAACGAGUCAUUGCUCAGCUUUCAUAUCAUCUUCCAGCUCCUCACAAGCCAGAUGUCCAGCAACAGUAUGAUAUCUAGCAUCUUUCAAAGGAUCCUGCUGAAGCUGUGAAAUACACACAGGGCAUUGAGGAUCAUUGACGUAACCUCAGAACCUUCUAGAACCACCUAGAGUGGUGUACAUAACGUUGUAUUACAUGAUGCCACUGGGACUUUCAGCUUCAGAUGAAUGUGCAAGAAACCUCUUUCUGAAGAGACCCUUAAUAUGUCAGCAAAAAAGGCAGAAGCAUACAGGCAGGCAUAUGUCUAAGAACGUAAACUGAUGAAAGGUGUCUUCCAGGAUAUGGCAAAAUGUGACUGUGAUGCAUCAAUUCCCCGGCCAAUGAAUCAGAGGACAGCCUAAAGGACAACAAUCUGUAUCCUUCCUACAAAGCCACCGUGUGCCUGGUCUGGAAGCUAUAAACAGCUUUCUAACGUCCCCAUCACACAAGCAGACAGCUCUGCCUGCUCAUCAAUAGAUUGAGGUCCUGGACAGAUGGAAAACUCAAAAUGAAAGUGUGCUGAACCACAUACCUGCCGAUGACUGUCCAGAGCUACAUGAGCUGGCAAACUGCACAGAUGCAGUCCCAGGGGCAAACACAGAUCCUCUGUCAGUUGAGGAAGUAUAAAAGGUCAUCCAAAAGUUAUGGAAUGGACAUGCUGCUGGACCUCAUGAUGAUCCUCCCAAACUGUUCAAAGAUGCCUUGAAACCAGGGAACAUUGGCCUGCAUCAACAGUUCUUAAAAGCGUGGGCAUCAGAAACCCCGAGAAGAAGAUUCAGAAGACGGAGUGGGAUUUAAUGAGAGUGGAGCAAGGCCUCUUAGUGCAACAGAAACUGUAAGAGCAAGUACUAUUCUACAGCCAGAGACUUUCAUAGACACCUUACAGCUGAACUCUUUACUCGUGGUUUUGUUUUGAGAUCCCCAUUUUUGGAAACAGGCUGUUUUCAAGACCAGUAUGAGGCUAAUUCAAUGAUCCUGAAAGCGAAGGUUGGAAUACAGUGGCACAGCCAGAAUUGCAAAACGCUAUUGCAGUCUUUUUAACGUAUCGCUGUUGGUGCUCCCAGUUCUGGCCGGCAGUUCCAUUCUGGAACUUCUCUUGAGCAAGAAAUGCUAAGUGUGAAUGCUGCGGUGCUUCUGGACAUGCACCGAUGGGGUAUUUAUUUGCAUUUGCUGCCAAACCCAGAGCAAGAACUCUAAUCAACCAACCCAGUGUGCUACCUACUCCUCCCUUUUUGAACACUCAUAAUAGAAAGGGAAUUUACUUUAGGACUGGUACCUUAACUUGACUCUCUAUACACAUUUACAGUAUUUACAAGACUUUCUUUAUAAUAAAUCACAAGUUAUCAUGGCAUCUACUUAAUGACAAGAAAAAGAUCAGGGAGAAGCAAACCGCUUCUUGUUUAGUUGAUUUUGCAGAGAAUCAGUGCACACAAUAAACACUAGCAGAUCAACAUUUGAUCCAAACUCCAUGACUCUUGGGCCUUUUUCUAAUUAUAAGCAGUAUUUACACCUUAUCUAUCUAAUCUGUCCAACUUGAAUGUGGUGUAACAAUGAAUCACAGCCCAUGCUGAAUUUUAGCACAGCACCAGAGGUACUGAAGUCUCAGAUAUACAGCUUAUGCCUAUUUAUCAGGGAGAGUAAACAGUGCAUCUUUUCACGUUUAACUCUGUGGUUUGUUUAGAUUUUGCAGACAGUUUUAAGACUUGCUACUGUCAUAUAUCCCACUUAUUUUGCACUAAAAUUAACUGCAGAAUAAUUGAAAGCAGAUGUAGGGUAAUAAUGCAACAAACAGGACUGUCUUGUUAUCAGCUCACAAGAUAGCAGACAAUCCUUUCUAUCUUCUUUGCAGAGAGAUCUUUUGUAAUGAUUAGUAUUGCAGCAACAUAUUACUCAUGCUAGCGGUAUGAAAAUCUACCAUCGGAGGGUAAAGAAUACAAUCUUUGGGAGAACAGUAACAGCUAGGACUCAGAGUAAAGAUAUUUGAGUUCAGCUCUCCAAAUUUCCGUGUUUUAGUAAUUUUAUUCAUUUACUUUACGGAGAAACAGAGAGUGCAACGUGGAAUAGUAAAGCUGAUCUGAAAUGUUUCAGCUAGAUGUAUUUUAGUGAGCCAAGGUAGUGCUCAUUUAGCGAAAACCUCACAGUGGUAUUGGGUGCAUCACUGAAUAAAUGCAACUUCUGCUCCUAAACAUCCAAGUGUUUAUGGAGCAGGAUAAAUUUAUCCCUGAGUUCACAAGAUGCUACUGAGGAAGUUAUCACUAUUCUGUUUAACGUUUUUUCUAGGCAUUUAUUGCUGGUGAACUGUGCCUAGCAUGGCAGUUAAUCAUUUGGGCACAUCAAGCAUUAACUGUUAGCAAUCUGACUGGCCCAUCACUGUUUUCAGUCAGUUUAAAGGCUAUAUACCUAAUUAUACCCAUCAUGUGGAUAGAGGUGAAUAGUGCAAAGGAUACUCUAUUCUGAUUGCCGUGUUUGGAACGUCAAAUGCAUAACUGAGAUGCUUGUCAUCUGGGAUAAAUAUAACCCUUUGGAUGCUGGCCCUCCUUUACACCUGCUGUCACACAGUAAUUUAUAAUCAGAGGAAUGUUUGAAGAUUACAGUAUUUGGUGGAUUCUGCUGCAGCAGGUGCAUUCCACCUGGAUGUACCCAGCACCU
Molecule: long non-coding RNA, 3598 nt
Organism: Chelonia mydas (Green sea turtle)
Lineage: Eukaryota; Metazoa; Chordata; Testudines; Cheloniidae
Exons: 5
Source: RefSeq, a predicted model, not a curated record